CCUACGGGAGGCAGCAGUAGGGAAUCUUCCGCAAUGGACGAAAGUCUGACGGAGCAACGCCGCGUGAGCGAUGAAGGCCUUCGGGUCGUAAAGCUCUGUUGUUAGGGAAGAACAAGUAUCGGAGUAACUGCCGGUACCUUGACGGUACCUAACCAGAAAGCCACGGCUAACUACGUGCCAGCAGCCGCGGUAAUACGUAGGUGGCAAGCGUUGUCCGGAAUUAUUGGGCGUAAAGCGCGCGCAGGCGGUCCUUUAAGUCUGAUGUGAAAGCCCACGGCUCAACCGUGGAGGGUCAUUGGAAACUGGGGGACUUGAGUACAGAAGAGGAAAGCGGAAUUCCACGUGUAGCGGUGAAAUGCGUAGAGAUGUGGAGGAACACCAGUGGCGAAGGCGGCUUUCUGGUCUGUAACUGACGCUGAGGCGCGAAAGCGUGGGGAGCAAACAGGAUUAGAUACCCUGGUAGUCCACGCCGUAAACGAUGAGUGCUAAGUGUUAGGGGGUUUCCGCCCCUUAGUGCUGCAGCUAACGCAUUAAGCACUCCGCCUGGGGAGUACGGCCGCAAGGCUGAAACUCAAAGGAAUUGACGG
This 587-nucleotide ribosomal RNA is filed under the name uncultured bacterium. RNAcentral's name for it is "bacterial SSU rRNA". It matches the Rfam family "Bacterial small subunit ribosomal RNA", at positions 338 to 916 of the family's 1533-position model. The record is from RNAcentral.